GAUUUGAUAGUUUAAUUAAAACAUUGGUCUUGUAAACCAAAAAUGAAUAAAACUAUUCUCAAAUCA
This 66-nucleotide transfer RNA is filed under the name Alvinocaris chelys. RNAcentral's name for it is "tRNA-Thr". It matches the Rfam family "tRNA". Rfam says of the family: Transfer RNA (tRNA) molecules are approximately 80 nucleotides in length. The record is from RNAcentral. Lineage: Eukaryota; Metazoa; Arthropoda; Malacostraca; Decapoda; Alvinocarididae.